This 273-nucleotide ribosomal RNA is filed under the name uncultured bacterium. RNAcentral describes it as "partial 16S ribosomal RNA". It matches the Rfam family "Bacterial small subunit ribosomal RNA", at positions 524 to 796 of the family's 1533-position model. The record is from RNAcentral.
UACGUAGGGGGCGAGCGUUGUCCGGAAUUACUGGGCGUAAAGGGUGCGUAGGCGGCGAUGCAAGUCCAUUGUGAAAAGCCCGGGCUUAACCUGGGAGGUGCAGUGGAAACUGCAUGGCUUGAGUGCAGGAGAGGAAAGUGGAAUUCCUAGUGUAGCGGUGAAAUGCGUAGAUAUUAGGAGGAACACCAGUGGCGAAGGCGGCUUUCUGGACUGUAACUGACGCUGAGGCACGAAAGCGUGGGGAGCAAACAGGAUUAGAUACCCCCGUAGUCC